RNAcentral lists this ribosomal RNA (497 nucleotides) under uncultured bacterium. Its description in RNAcentral is "partial 16S ribosomal RNA". It matches the Rfam family "Bacterial small subunit ribosomal RNA", at positions 28 to 507 of the family's 1533-position model. The record is from RNAcentral.
GAUGAACGCUGGCGGCGUGCCUAAUACAUGCAAGUCGAGCGAACGGACGAGAAGCUUGCUUCUCUGAUGUUAGCGGCGGACGGGUGAGUAACACGUGGAUAACCUACCUAUAAGACUGGGAUAACUUCGGGAAACCGGAGCUAAUACCGGAUGAUAUUUUGAACCGCAUGGUUCAAAAGUGAAAGACGGUCUUGCUGUCACUUAUAGAUGGAUCCGCGCUGCAUUAGCUAGUUGGUAAGGUAACGGCUUACCAAGGCAACGAUGCAUAGCCGACCUGAGAGGGUGAUCGGCCACACUGGAACUGAGACACGGUCCAGUCUCCUACGGGAGGCAGCAGUAGGGAAUCUUCCGCAAUGGGCGAAAGCCUGACGGAGCAACGCCGCGUGAGUGAUGAAGGUCUUCGGAUCGUAAAACUCUGUUAUUAGGGAAGAACAUAUGUGUAAGUAACUGUGCACAUCUUGACGGUACCUAAUCAGAAAGCCACGGCUAACUACGUG